RNAcentral lists this ribosomal RNA (497 nucleotides) under uncultured bacterium. RNAcentral describes it as "partial 16S ribosomal RNA". It matches the Rfam family "Bacterial small subunit ribosomal RNA", at positions 28 to 507 of the family's 1533-position model. The record is from RNAcentral.
GAUGAACGCUGGCGGCGUGCCUAAUACAUGCAAGUCGAGCGAACAGACGAGGAGCUUGCUCCUCUGACGUUAGCGGCGGACGGGUGAGUAACACGUGGAUAACCUACCUAUAAGACUGGGAUAACUUCGGGAAACCGGAGCUAAUACCGCAUAAUAUCUUUAACCGCAUGGUUCAAUAGUGAAAGACGGUUUUGCUUUCACCUAUAGUUGUAUCCGCGCCGCAUUAGCUAGUUGGUAAGGUAACGGCGUACCAAGGCAACGAUGCGUAGCCGACCUGAGAGGGUGAUCGGCCAAACUGGAACUGAGCACCGGUCCAGCCUCCUACGGGAGGCAGCAGUAGGGAAUCUUCGGCAAUGGGCGAAAGCCUGACGGAGCAACGCCGCGUGAGGGAUGAAGGUCUUCGGAUCGUAAAACUCUGUUAUUAGGGAAGAACAAAUGUGUAGGUAACUAUGCACGUCUUGACGGUACCUAAUCAGAAAGCCACGGCUAACUACGUG